Molecule: ribosomal RNA, 2100 nt
Filed under: Triticum aestivum (bread wheat)
Lineage: Eukaryota; Viridiplantae; Streptophyta; Magnoliopsida; Poales; Poaceae
Description: partial small subunit ribosomal RNA
Source: RNAcentral
AUGGCGCCCGCUCCCGUGCUCCUCCCCACGCCAGAUCCGAGCGCUACGCCAGAUCCCGACGCAGCGCCCCAGGCCCCGGCGGCGGCCGCGGCGGUCCCGCUCACCCCCGAGCACUGCACCGCGCCCAGCCGGCUGGCCGCCAGGUCCGACGCCGAUGCCGGCGCGCCGACGAUCCCUCUCACACCCGAGCUCAUCGCCUUGCUGCGCGGCGAGCUCGAGCCCUCCCCCGAGGACCACUCCGACUUCGCCCUCCGCCUGAGAUUUACCCAGCAGCGCCUUGACGCCAUCUCCCCCAGCCUCCCCUCCGCCACGCCCCCGCCGGCGCCACCGCAACGCCCACAGUCUCCCCUUCCCCCGCCGACGUCUCACGUGCCACCGCCCCCUCCUCCGCCCCGCGCGCAUGCCGACCCAUUGCGGGCCUCGUCCUCGGCCGCCAGCCUCCCCUCCGCCAUGCCACCUCCGCUACGCCCACCGUCUCCCCCGCCGACACGCCCAAACUCUCCCCUGCCCCCGCCGCCGCCACGGGCGCCGUCUCCCCCUCCACCCAGCGCGCAUGCCAACCCGGCGAUGGAGAUGGUGCAACUGCGGGUUAUAUCCGCGCAGGAGGACACGCUCCACUAUCGACCGCUGGUGCGCCGCGCGCGACUCGCCUUCGAGGCGCUCUGGGGCCGCUACCACCGCAACGCCGAGAACAACCCUGUCCCCGGCAGCCGCAACCGGGCCGACUUGCGGGCCCUCGGCGCCAUGAUCAAAGGGAGGCUCUGCCUCAACCGCGAUAAGCGCAUCGUAGGGCCCGUGCCGGGCGUCUUCGUCGGCGACGCCUUCAACUACCGCGCUGAGCUCCUCGUCGUCGGCCUGCACAACCAAACGCAGGCCGACAUCGGCUACGUGCCCGCCAGCAAGCUCGACGGGGGCCACCCCGUCGCCACCAGCAUCGUAUCCUCGGGCAGGUACCUCGACGACCACGACAACGGGGGCGUCUUGAUCUACACGGGAAGCGGCGGCAGCCCGCCGAACGGCGGCAACCUCGCCCUCACAUAUAGCUGCAACUAUGGCAUCGAGGUGCGCGUCAUCCGCUGCCACGACUGCCACGCCAGCCCCAGCGGCAAGCUCUACGUCUACGACGGCCUCUACAAGGUCUUCUCCACAUCCGAGGUCUGCAAGUUCAAGCUCGUGCGUGUGCCCGGCCAGGAAGCGCUCGGCAGCAACACCUGGCGCUCCGCCAGAGACCUCAUCAACCAGCUCGACGCCAAGAUCCAGCCUCCCGACUACAUCACGCUGGACAUGUCCAAGGGCAAGGAAGCGGUUCCCGUCCCCGUCCGCAACUCGGUUGACCAUGACGUCUUUCCCCUCCAGUUCGAGUACCUCGCACGCCCCGAGUUCCCGGCGCCGCCGGCGAUGCCCGGCCACAAGUGCUGCACCUGCAUCAAUGCCAAGACUGCGUGCAGCGAGACGGCCGGCUGCGCCUGCGUGAAGAGGAGCGGCGGAGGCGGCCCAGCGUACAAUGCUGACGGCAUGCUCUUGAGGGGACGGCCGGUGGUGUACGAGUGCGGCGCGUCGUGCGGGUGCCCGGCGAGCUGCCCCAACCGGGUGACUCAGCGGGGGACGAGGCACCGGCUGGAGGUGUUCCGGUCCACGGAGACGGAUUGGGGCGUGAGGACGCUCGACCUGAUCCAGCCGGGCGCAUUCCUCUGCGAGUUCGCCGGGGACGUGCUCCUCGCGGAUGACCCCCGCAUUGCCAACGCGAACGCCAAUGCCAAUACCGGCGCGUCAACGGAGGAGUGGGCCUGCUUCAUCGACCCGAGGAAGUUUCCGACGAGGUGGAUGGAGUGGGGGUACGCCCCCGCGGCCGUGCUUCCAGCCGACGGCGAGGAACCGCCCCGUUUCGUGCAGUGCCCGGCGCCGGGGUACGUGCUCGACAUAUCCAAGAGGAAAAACAUCGCGGCCUACAUCAGCCACAGCAGCUUCGUGCCAAACGCCUUCGUCCAGCUCGUGGUCCGUGGUGACGAGGACGAGUCGUGCCCCCACCUGAUGGUCUUCGCCAUGGAGAUCAUCCCGCCGAUGAGCGAGCUGAGCAUCGACUACGGCCUCGAUCAGUGA